RNAcentral lists this transfer RNA (73 nucleotides) under Stegodyphus mimosarum. It matches the Rfam family "tRNA". Rfam says of the family: Transfer RNA (tRNA) molecules are approximately 80 nucleotides in length. Their secondary structure includes four short double-helical elements and three loops (D, anti-codon, and T loops). Lineage: Eukaryota; Metazoa; Arthropoda; Arachnida; Araneae; Eresidae. The record is from Rfam by way of RNAcentral.
GCCUUUGUAGUGUAGUGGUCAGCACGCACGACGCGAAACCUAGAGGUCCGUGGUUCGAUUCCCGGCGAAGGCG